CCUCUACUAUAUGGUACUGAGUAUUUUAACCAGUUCUAAAUUGGGGGGAAAGUGUCAUUCAUUGAAUCACCAACAUUAACUGUUGAGGACUCGUAUUUUUAUAUGAAUUGCUGGUUCCCUAUAUAUCCCUAUAAUGCUCACUGUUUAAUGUAAUGGCCUGAUUGUAAUGCUCAUGAAGGGAAAUGUGUUCUCUAUCAACAGGAAGAGAGAGAAUUUCCAACUUCUGAAGGUUACUCUUUUAGCAAUUCAUUUAAAUUCAAAAUUCAGACAGUCAAUUUACUAUUAUUGUGAAAGUCAUGCUUGCUGAAAUGAUAUAUAGUCUUGGAUAAGCACAGAGAAACCAGGCAUUUACAAUGCCAGUCAUCUUGAAAAAUACAUAACCGUGCUGUUAAAAAUGUCAUCAUUACAGUUUAGGCAGCCUGGCAGAAAAAAUAUUCAAGCACUAAAAUAGCUGGAAUCUGAAAGCUCACUGUGAGGCUGUCUCAUGUUGCUUUGCAGAUAAGUUGCUCCCUUCUGAGCUGAGCUGAGCUGAGCUGAGCUGGCUGGCUCUGUGGGGUUUCAAGCAGGAUCUUGAGGUGAUAAAUAGUAAUUAUUUGCUUGAGUUUCAGAUUGUGUUGCUGACUGAGAUUCUGGAGAUGCUAGAGAAACCCAUACACCAACUGGGCAGAAGACUAUUCACUUUUCCAGGUGGUGAGAACCUCUGAAGAGAUACUGAAUUGACUGUUGAAAUGUGGUUUUGUGGUGGAGCGAGUGCCAGCUGUUUUCUGGAAGUACAGUGUUGAUAUCCCUGCCAAUUAUCAAUCUAUUUCUAGCUUUCUUUUUCUGAGAUUGGAAAGAUGGCUGGGAAAGUUGCAGCAGUCCAGUUCUGGGGAUGUCAGUCCAGUUCUGGACCUUCAGAUUGCCUAGAUCAGGUCAGUCUAUUUACAGACUUAGGUAUGGCACAGAGCCCAGUCAACGAUAUUAGGUCAAUGAUCUCCUGCUGGGUGAAGUAGCCAUUAAGCCUGUACGAAGCGGCUAGUAUUUGCUUCAGAUUUGGCAGAUUCAGGGGCCAGUGAUUUGAUUUGGUGAUUCGAAUCACUGUCCUGAAUCAAUUCAGCUGAAUCUGAUUUAUAGAUUCAGCUGCCACCUGCUCAGCCCCAUGGAGCUCAGCCUGGUGGUGCGCAUCCCCGGCUCUCCCUGUCUCCCGCUGCUGGGCUGUGCUUCGCAGCCCCAUGGAGUGCAGCCCGGUGGUGGGAGGUGGGCAGAGCCAGGGCUGCGCUCUGAUUGGCUUCACCAGCCCCACGGACCUCAGCUUGGCAGCAGGAGAGAGGGAGAGCCAGGGCUGUGCUCUGCCUCCCACUGCCAGGCUGAGCCCCAUGGGGCUGCGGAGCUGCUCGGAGCACAGCCCUGGCUCUCCCCUGCCUCCCGUCACUGGGCUGCUUGGAAACUUGAAACAUUUUGAAACUUUCAAAAUGUUUUGAGUGCCUUCAUUUUAUUUUGAAACUGUUUCGAAGCUUUUUGUUUAAUUUCGAUUUCCUUGUUUCAAGCUCAAAACACCUUGAAACAGCUUUGAAAGGAAAAACUCGGAGAAAUUUCACACAGCUCUACUAGGCAAGGCUGAUAGAGCAGUGCUGAUGGGACAAAGGCUGAGCCCAGCUGCAAAGACUGAAUUGACUAACCUGCAAAGACUGAAUCGAUUAUGCUCGGGCUUUUUGACUCUCUAUACUUAGCCCUAGUGUCUGAAUCAGACGGGACUGAGUCCAUGGACUAGGGUUCAACUCAGAUACAGAUCAAGUUGAACCCUAGCAAAUAUUAUAUUUGUACCCCUAGCUAAGGGCUGCUUUUUUACCUAGCUUACUAGCAUAGGGGUCUUGUUCAGCACCUAUAUACAGUAGUAUAUGGCCAGGAAGUUGGUGAGGAUCUUCAUGGACUAGAGUUUAGAUAUGCAAGAGAGAAAAGUGAUGCAAGAUACUUCAUAUCAUGGACAUAGCUUAUUUGUUCUCCUGUAGGUUUUCUUUGGUCUGAGAUUAAUCAUAAUUAUGAAUAGUAAUAGCCAUAAUACCUACUUUUUCAUAUAUGCAAGUCAAAGCAAGUUUGUGUUUGAAGGCAGACUUUGAUAUUAGCAUUUUUCCACUGAAUUUAGAAGGUUUCUAUCAUUUAAUUUUGCAUAAUUUUAUACAUUCCUUCAAGUAUUAGUUUUUUUCAUAGUUAGCCAAAAAUGAUCAUUUUCCCCAAGAAUUUAUAUAAAAAGCUCAGUUCUGCAUGUUUGCAAUGUAUAGUUGCCUCCAAGUCAAAAAGGGGCCAAUUCUGUGCCAAGCAAAACUGCUUUUGCUAGUCAUUGGGGAAAUUAUCCUUGUUUGACUUUUACCUCAGAAAAAGUCUCUUUAUAUAGGGCAUCCAUUGUGUAUAUGCAUGAUAGGGAAGGGUGAGCUGAAGUAACACACAGAGAGAAAAAAAAGCUUGACAUUGAAGUAGCUCUGGCUUUCAUUGUAUUUCACAUAGUUUUGCCAUCAUGCUGCAUGCCAUUGUAUUGCAUACCCAUUGAACAAAUGGAGAGUGGUUUCUCUCUGAAGUUGAACUAAGCUGUCUCAGGUGCUGAUUCAGAUUGGAAAGUCACCUUGUCUUGUUACAUAUACACAUAAGCCUAUGCACCUCUCUCUCUCUCGCUUGCUGCUUUCCUCUUGGCCUUAUGUUGGCAUAAGCCAUAACAUAACGUGUGAAAACAUAGCAUAACAUAACAAAUGUGAAAAAAUCCUGCACCUCCAUAUUUAAUUAGAAAGCAAGUAUCCAAAUGGUCUUUGAAUUGCUGUUAAAUGCUGCAGAUAUUCAUGGUCUUUGAAUUGCAAUUAAAUGCUGCAGAUAUUCAUGAAUCUGAAGGGGAAUAGUGACGAAGAUAGUAUGUGAUACUGGGUAAAAUUCCAACAUUUAAAUAUUUAUUCUUAUUUCUCUAUAAGUUGCUGACAUUUAAGGAAAAGAGUCUACUUUACUAUUCCCAUUCAAUUUGCUUCAAAGAUUUAAUCACCAGGCCAUUAUCUUAUUGCUUUUUAAAUCAUAUCUAAUUUUAAACAAUGCUAAUGUAAAAGUGCAUGGAAGCAAACAUAUUGGUUGGCUAUACCUGCUCUUAUUAUAUAAGCUCUUAAUUAAUUCAUAAUACAUGUGACCUAAAGACUGGAAUAGACUGAAACAAGUGAAACAAUAUGGCUGUUUCCCUUGAAUUCAUUCCCUGGUGGUGUGUGCAUCAGUGUUGUCAUUUACUAGCAGGGAAUACAGUCAAUGAUAUGACUUCAUUUUGACAUUUAAAGUCCUAUCGGCAAGCAAAGUAUGGCUGAUGCUGGUCUAACUUCACUGAUUUUACAUCACAGUUACUUGACAGAAUUCAGUAGAAUUUCUCAUGAUUUACACCAGAAAAUGGUUCUCAAUCAGAUCUAAUAUUUUCUACUUUAAAGGUAUAGCUGAACUCCAGGUAAAUACACAGGGGUCCACUGUGGCUUUUAAAAGUAGCCUUUGCUGAACAGGAAGUCACCUCCUCUCCAUCACCCCUGACACCAGUAUCUCUCUGAGACAAUUUAGCUGCACAAAUGCUGUGGUGGACAGAUGGACUAGAGUAGUAGAGACCUGAGCAACAGCUGCUACAUCCUCUGUGAAGGUGCCAUGUGCAGUUCCCCAGUGCUGGACUUGAAUCUAACAGUUGGUGUAGGAGGGCAGAAGGGCCAUCCUAUGGCCCUGUCAUGUGCCUUGUGACACUGAUGGCAAUGUGGCCUCUCUCUGUUCUGAACUACAGCAUUGAAAGGACUGAGGUUAUGAUUACCUCUUGUGGGAUGCACAAAAGCUGAGAGGACAAAUGUUUGCCUUCUUUUUUCUCUCUGCACCAAUACAGGGACUGGCUCUAUGCUGAGCCUUGAACUCUGAUUAGCAAACUUAGCACAAUUCUGUGGCUCUUCUAAAAUUUCUAUGCCUUUUUGACAAAGGGAGUGCUCAGGAUGCUACACUUAGGAAUGGCAAAGUGCUUUAUGAUUGCUUCACUUCAAAAUAUAAUCACCUCCUUGUAAGGUAUUCUGUAUACCAAGACGAGGGUACAGUAUGACAAGGGCAAAUGGUUCUAGGAAUAGCACCAUGGGCUUAAUGAUGAACAGCAGUGCUUAGCAUGGUAAAAUUGGACACUAACAGACAUGGAAAAAACCUCCACAGCGCUUUCCUAGAAGAGGUAUCACAUCAGUUUGACCCACCUCUCCAGUGUCUGUACGGCUUGUGUGCUUCAGCAGGGCUUUUGGGCACUCUUAUCUAAUAGCUGAUACAAUGAAUAAGGUGACAAGUACUGAAUAGUUUCCUUUUCAUUCUGGCCCUUAGAGUAAAAACAUAAUAGUUAAGGUAAUUGCGCACCCCUCACAGGACUUCACAAAGGUUACCAAUUAUUGUCAUUUAGGCUAUAGUUAGUCUCCUAUUGUUCUCUUUCAAUACCUGGAGAUGAACAAAAUGAGACUGAUAGAAAAAAAAGAUAGGAGAUUUGUAAAGUAAUCAUGUCUGUUUUGUGUUUGGCAUAAAUUUGUUACAAUACAUAGAUAUAUGUCUCUUGUCUUUUAGAUUUUUUCUCCUUUCUGUCUCAGAAGCUAGAGAGGCAUAUAUAGACCUUUAUUAAUUUUAAUAAAAAACUACUUUGCCAUGAUAGCCAGAGCAAGCAUUACCAUGUGCACACACAAUUGUCAUGGUUAGUUAACACACUUUACUAAUGCUGAUGAAGGAAAGAAAAGACACCUGUACCUUGGAGAAACUACUUAGGGGAAACAUCUACAUGAAAUGUUUGCUGUGGUUGUCUAAUUAGCUCCACAGUAAAGCCUCAGCGUCUACGGUGCGAUCAUAUUAGGCUGCAGUAAACUAAAAAACACCACCAUAGGUUAGUACUUGUAAACAGAAGUCCUAUCCUAUGGCAACAUUAUUUAGUGCAUUGCAAAGUAUGUGUAGAUGCUGACAGGGCUUGUUACCAGCUGUCUGCUGGCUAGCUCUGCACUGGAGUACCCUCAUGCCCCAGCCAGCCCUUCUGCAGCACAUUGAACCAGGUCAGAGCAGCCCUGGGCUGGCAGGCUGAACCCCCAGGUCCCCUGCCAGCUGGGGCUGCUCUGACCCAGCAAAAUGUGCUGCAGUCCCAGGCACAUAUGUAAAUGUGGCACCUGGGAGCAAUAAACUCCAGUCCAAAUUGAACUGGAGUUUAUUCAAUCACAUUAAUAGCGCAUGUAGACAUGCCCAGAGAUCCAGUACUAAUACGAGCUGAAGCUUAUAACGCAAAAAGCAGCUAUAUAUACAGCUAGAGUAGCUUAAUUCUUAAACUCCAACAAAUCAUUGUUCCAGGCAUAUGGGAAGAAAGACAUAGAAGCAGUAGUUUAAUUGGGUUAUAACAUUAUAAACUCAUCUGGUGAUUAUCCAGUGAUAACUUUUGGAAUGCAAGUCAUGAUCUUUCCGUAAUUGUUUGCUAUUAGUUUCUCCUUCUUCCACAGCUGGUCACCUAGCCUGCUGCUAGGACCCCUCUGCCCUCUCUUCAGAUGAAGGGCAAGGGAUUGAGGAAACAUGGCUGUCUCAGCCCUAGUCCUAGCUCCAUCUCUGAGUGCCUUUAGAAGAUGCCUUUCUUCAGUCAAUUUCUAGUUCUAAUUUAGCAGGGAACUGACUCCCCAUGGAAUAAAUAUCUGCAUUGGAUACCAGCACUCAUCCCUAGCAUGUUCCCAAAGAAACAGCAAUUCCAUCCCUAGCCCAACAUAUUUUUGCCUGCCAAGGAGAGUAAAAGGGGUAUCAGCUGGUCCCAGACCCUGUCUCUGGUGCCAUGCCAACUCAUAUUUGCCUCAACAUAGAAGCCCAGCUGUGAAUCCACAGCUGAACUGGCCACCUGCCAGCAAGCCCAAUGUGCAGUACUUUCCCAACAGAGCCAAACACCUGUUCUCAUGCCCUGUUUCCUUGUUUCCCAUAACAUGACCUUUGACCUGUGCCAACCUGGAGCUGCCUUAUCACUGAAGCCCAGCAUAAGCCAAGAGAAACCAUCUACACAUCUGUGGGCCGUAUGCACUGUAACAUGCCUGUACAACUUAGAAGAGUUCAGCAAACCGAAUUCUACCCCACAACAGGGACUUCCAAGUGACUAUGCAGAUAUUGAAACCAGCACAGAACCUUACCAACUCCCAGUACAAGAUCAAAGUGGCACAGCACAUGUGGGCUCAGUGUGCAGCACCAGAAACUGGAGCCUGACUGACACUCUGGCUCCUGGUCAAGCUCUGAGUGGCCACAUUGAUGCCACAACUGCCCCAGAAGGCCCCCAGGACCCCAGAAGACUUGCCUAAAGCCAGCUCCUGGGCAGGGUCAUUGUUUGCUGAAGAAUGGAAUGGUUUGUUCUUGAAAGCUGUUAAGUGGCACCUUUAGGACUGAGCCCUACUGUUUUAAAUCAGUGAUUUUCAACUUGUGGCCCAUGGAUGAGGAAAAGGCUGAAGUACUCAAUGCCUUUCUUACUUCGAUCUUCACAGGCCAGGUCAGGUCCCAGACUACUACACCUGGCAACAUAGUUUGGGGAGGAGGUCAGCAGCCCUCAAGAGUGAAAGAACAGAUUAGGGACUAUUUAGAAAAGCUGGACAUGUAUGAAUUCAUGGGGCCAGAUGCGAUGCAUCUGAGGAUGUUGAGGAAGUUGGCUGAUGUGAUUGCAGAGCCACUGACCAUUAUCUCUGAGAACUUGUGGUGACUGGGGGAGGUCUCAGACAAUUGGAAAAGGGAAAAUAUUGUGCCCAUCUUUAAGAAAGGAAAGAAGGAGGAUCCAGGGAACUACAAGCCUGUCAGCCUCACCUCAGUCCCCAGAUAAAUCAUGGAGCAGGUCCUCAAGGAAUCCAUUUCUAAGCACUUGGAGGAGAAGUAAGUGAUCAGGAAGGGUCAGCAUGGAUUCACCAAGGGGAAGUCAUUCCUGACCAACCUGAUUGCCUUCUAUGAUGAGAUGACUGGCUCUUUGGAUGCAAGAAAAGCAAUGGAAAUGAUAUACCUUGACUUCACCAAGCCUUCUGAUAUGGUCUCCCACAGCAUUCUUGCAAACAAGAAGAAGAGAGUCUGAGCUGGAGAAGAGAUUCAGGGCAUGAGGAAGUCCAACUAGCACUACGUGGGAUCCUGGCAAAUGCAGCUGCGAAGAAACCUUGGGAGCCCUGAAAAUCCCAACUCCAUGAUUGUCUGGUGGCAAGGACUUUGCAAGUCUACGUGCUGCUACAGAGUUGGCAAUCUGAAAGAUAUGAGAGCUCAGACUAACCUAGAGUUAAGAGACUGGAAGCCUUGACCCCAAAGCCUCCCUCCAGGAGGAUUGAUAUACUUCUGGGACAGGGAAUUGGCAAGUUUUAUCAAACCUAUUUCUUUUUUUCUCCUGAUUUGUGCCUCUUGAGUCAACAAAUUAGGGCUGACACCACAAUAAGAAACAGUGCUUGCUCCUGUGAAUUGUGACUCUGAAGCUUUGUUGAUUAUUGUGUUUCUUUGUGCAAUACCUACUGAAUAUUUUGCUGCUGCACAACACAGAAAUUUGGAAUGGAAAUCUUCAGUGAAAUUUCAGUUUUACUGUAUUUUAUUUUGGGAGUGGAUCUGCUGUUGAUGUACAGCAUUCCCCAGUAGAAAUAAAUUGCACUCAAAGACUUCCAAGCAGCAAUAAUAUAUAUUCUGUGAGCCUGUGACCAUAGAAUUCAGUCUUGUGCUCCACAAACACAACUUGCAUUUUCUUAAAAAAAAAAAAGUGGCUAUGGUCCUUAGAUUUAUAUUUUUUUAAAAAGAUAAAUAAAAGACUUUGAAAUGAGUAUAAAACUGUUGAGCUAUUGAUUUUUCAA
Long non-coding RNA from Alligator mississippiensis (American alligator), 7802 nucleotides. RefSeq lists it as uncharacterized. The transcript has 5 exons. Lineage: Eukaryota; Metazoa; Chordata; Crocodylia; Alligatoridae. The record is from RefSeq and is a predicted model, not a curated record.